GUUGUAAUACUUUCUUAUGUGUUCUUGUUGCUUGAUUCUUGCAGGCGUAGAGGGAAAGAUUGUGGUUGAGCUGAUUUUGCUGGGCAAAUUUGGAUGCAGGGGCAAACAUUAUCUGAUUUUUUUCUUUAUUGUUCUGUUCUUUUUUUUUUGGUUUCGGGUAUGUGGAUUUGAUUUUGUGAUCGUUGUUCUGAUUGUGCAAGGAGGAGUCUCUUGCACGUAGAACAUAGAAACUACC
Molecule: long non-coding RNA, 235 nt
Filed under: Brassica napus (rape)
Lineage: Eukaryota; Viridiplantae; Streptophyta; Magnoliopsida; Brassicales; Brassicaceae
Description: long non-coding RNA (BNAP_LNC020723)
Source: RNAcentral